AGAGCUUGAUCAUGGCUCAGAUUGAACGCUGGCGGCAGGCCUAACACAUGCAAGUCGAGCGGUAGCACAGGAGAGCUUGCUCUCUGGGUGACGAGCGGCGGACGGGUGAGUAAUGUCUGGGAAACUGCCUGAUGGAGGGGGAUAACUACUGGAAACGGUAGCUAAUACCGCAUGACCUCGCAAGAGCAAAGUGGGGGACCUUCGGGCCUCACGCCAUCGGAUGUGCCCAGAUGGGAUUAGCUAGUAGGUGGGGUAAUGGCUCACCUAGGCGACGAUCCCUAGCUGGUCUGAGAGGAUGACCAGCCACACUGGAACUGAGACACGGUCCAGACUCCUACGGGAGGCAGCAGUGGGGAAUAUUGCACAAUGGGCGCAAGCCUGAUGCAGCCAUGCCGCGUGUGUGAAGAAGGCCUUAGGGUUGUAAAGCACUUUCAGCGAGGAGGAAGGGUUCAGUGUUAAUAGCACUGAGCAUUGACGUACUCGCAG
This 486-nucleotide ribosomal RNA is filed under the name Rahnella sp. 01WB04.1-63. RNAcentral describes it as "bacterial SSU rRNA". It matches the Rfam family "Bacterial small subunit ribosomal RNA", at positions 8 to 484 of the family's 1533-position model. The record is from RNAcentral. Lineage: Bacteria; Pseudomonadati; Pseudomonadota; Gammaproteobacteria; Enterobacterales; Yersiniaceae.